This 429-nucleotide long non-coding RNA is filed under the name Phasianus colchicus (ring-necked pheasant). Its description in RNAcentral is "lncRNA (ENSPCLG00000016962.1)". The record is from RNAcentral. Lineage: Eukaryota; Metazoa; Chordata; Aves; Galliformes; Phasianidae.
GGCAAUAACUUCAAAUGCUAACUUCAAACUUUCAUUGAGAGCAUAGAUUCUAUAGCAACCAAGUAACAAUGACAACAAAAUUGCAUUCCAUUGAUUGAAGCUUUUUAAAGAGCUGGGAAUGUGAGACUACGACAACCUUUCCCUUGUGUAAUGUCAACGUCGGCUAUCACUUUGGCAGAAUCAGCCAGCUCAGUGAAGACAUGAAAACCCUCCUUCCCUCCUGUUUUUUCAUCUGCUGGUGGCAUUCAAAGUGACCUUCCCUUAUAAAUAUUGGAACUACGUUUCUCCAUGAUUAGACUUUUUAACCAUUCCAUUUGGACAGCAUCUCUGUGGAGCCAUUGUGCCAAGCAAGUCCUGGUAUGAAAUUCAAUUUCAAUGUAUUUCUGAAAAAAACGUAAUUUAAUGUAAAAUUUAUCUAAGCUCCUCAUG